This is a long non-coding RNA of Hibiscus syriacus, 779 nucleotides long. RefSeq lists it as uncharacterized. Lineage: Eukaryota; Viridiplantae; Streptophyta; Magnoliopsida; Malvales; Malvaceae. The transcript is spliced from 2 exons. The record is from RefSeq and is a predicted model, not a curated record.
GAAUUAGAGUUCCCUCUAUUUAGUUCCAUUGGUGUAACCUAUUUAUGUUUGCAGGUAAAAAUUCUUACGCAAUGUCAGUCCUAAGACGCGUAGAAAUGAAAUUAGAUGGGCUAGACAUUACAGAUAGAAGGGAACUUAGCAUUGCGGAGCAAGUGGAUUAUCUAUUAAAGCAAGCUACGAGUGUUGUUAAUCUUUGUAGCAUGUAUGAAGGUUGGACGCCAUGGAUUUGAACUUCGAAGUCUUUCUUUUCAAGGCGGUCUCAACUAUUGGAGGCACUUCAAUUACUUGUCACGUGGUCUGACUAUGCUUCAAUCUGGAAGCUUUAACACAAAGGAGGCAUAGGAACGAUGGCAACUUUUGGUUUUAUUAAAAAUGAAAAAGAAGCCCAGGUCCCCAAUGCAGAACGAACCCGAAUAGAGUCAGGGCACGUGCUCCAACCCUGUUUCACAAUAUAUCUCGACAGGUGGUGCUAUAGCAUCAAGUGUGGAUAGCCAUGAUUUUGGUUUCCUCUACCUCUGGCGUAUCAGCGCCCGACGAAGUUACAGCAACAUCGGACAUCAUUCAGAUGGGAACUUCGGUGAAAGCCACAUACAUUGUGGUUUAAAGUUGAUCGGCGAUUGACAUGGAGAUAAAGAUUAGUUUCAUGAUUUAUGAACAUUGGCCAAAUGCAAACCAAGCAAGCCAAUAUUUUUAUGGCAUUUCCAUCUUUGCUGUCUUAGAAGAUGUCUCUUUCACUUUUAUCAUAUCCACAGUGAAUAAAAAGGAAGAAAUAUGAAAAA